CAAGCAUCACCACCUGAGCUCUGCCUCUUGUCAGAUCAGUGGUGACAUUAGAUUCUCAUAGGAGCAGAGCCUCUUGUGAACUGUGCAUGCCAGGGAUCUAGGUCACAUGCUUCUUAUGAGAAUCUAAUGCCUGAUGAUCUAAGGUAGAGCAGUUUCAUCCCCAAACCACACCUCCCUGCCCUGGUCCGUAGGAAGAUUGUCUUCUGCAAAACCCGUCCUGGGUGCUAAACAUGUUGGGGACGAUGGGUAUAGACAAUGAGAAGUAACAGUCAGUGUUAUUGUUCUGUAUCAGUGGCAAGUACCAUUCUGUCCUAUUUUUAGGAGAAGAGACAAUAGCAUCAAUUCGUAACUAUCUGUGUGACUGAAGAAAUGAAAGCUGGAAAGCCAUUACCAGUGGAGAGAACGUCUCCACCUUCUGAUCACUGGUUCUCCUUUGCGUUCCUCAGGAUGGAGGCUGUCAGCAGUAGGAGCAUGGAGACCAGUAAUGGAUGUCCUUGUUCAUAUUUGAGGAUCAGAACAUCCUCCAAGGUCAUGUACUCUGUUUGCACCCUGCUUAGGAAGGAGCAUGCAGACCAAUGGAAGAUGACAAACACAGAUCAAGGAGGACUGUCUCAUCUGUUUGUGCUCUGCUCUGCGAGCUUCGGGAUGGAUGUUUGCCCGCUGAUCCCAUGGUUACAAGCUCUGUGGCUGCAUCUAUGCGUUCGGAGCAUGAAGACCAAUGUGAGUCAUUGUCAAUGCUCCUUCUUGUUUUGAAGGAGCAUCGACUAUUUGCUAUAUUAUUUGCAUUGUUAUUUGCUAUAUUAUAAGAAGUAUUAAACACAACUAAAGAAGGUAAAGAAUGCAA
RNAcentral lists this long non-coding RNA (844 nucleotides) under Cebus imitator (Panamanian white-faced capuchin). Its description in RNAcentral is "lncRNA (ENSCCAG00000038174.1)". Lineage: Eukaryota; Metazoa; Chordata; Mammalia; Primates; Cebidae. The record is from RNAcentral.